Molecule: long non-coding RNA, 698 nt
Organism: Poecilia latipinna (sailfin molly)
Lineage: Eukaryota; Metazoa; Chordata; Actinopteri; Cyprinodontiformes; Poeciliidae
Exons: 4
Source: RefSeq, a predicted model, not a curated record
GCUAUUGGUCGGUUGUGAGUGCGGUGGGCGGGGCCAGGAGGCGUUCUGUCAGUUGGAUACGCUGGUUUCCAUGGUCACGCAGGGAAUAAAAGGACAUAUUUUCGUCCCACAAGACAAGAGGGAGUUUGUCAGUUACCAAGAAAAGUUGUGGAUAGUUCCUUUUACUUUCACCUUGUUGUGAUUUGUUUUCUUUUCUCUCAUUAAAGUUAAAGGUCGCAUCAUCUGCCAGUCUGAAGCAGCCAGGGCCUGAAAACUAUGCAGGACGUAUUUCCAGCUUCACCAGCGGUUCCCAAAAGACGACUCUCUUGACCCAAAGUUCCUGUUUUUCCAGUAGCGCCUGACCUCCUCCAGCUCGUUCGGCCCGAGGCUCUGGUCGACCCCCGGCGUGGGCUGGUAGCUCAGAGAUCUGCAGUCACGCUGCCAUCAUAAGUCUGCACCAGACAGGGGCCCAACCAGACCUCCUCUCCCCCCUCUGACGGUCUCACCAGAUCCACGCGAGGAGCCCACCUACUGUCACUGCCAGGACCACUUGGCUCCUUCUCAAAGGCCUUUUUCAGGAACAACAGAGUCGAGGAGAGGAAAUGACAGCCUGAUCACAAGACGCCGCUGGUCCCACUCCCCCUCACUCCGGCUUCUAGGGCCGCCCUGCAAAAACACAAAACUUAACAACUAUUUCUGCUCUAGUUUCUAGUGGAAAU